UACGUAGGGUGCGAGCGUUGUCCGGAAUUAUUGGGCGUAAAGGGCUCGUAGGCGGUUUGUCGCGUCGGGAGUGAAAACCCAGGGCUUAACCCUGGGCUGGCUUCCGAUACGGGCAGACUAGAGGUAUGCAGGGGAGAACGGAAUCCCUGGUGUAGCGGUGAAAUGCGCAGAUAUCAGGAGGAACACCGGUGGCGAAGGCGGUUCUCUGGGCAUUACCUGACGCUGAGGAGCGAAAGUGUGGGGAGCGAACAGG
This 253-nucleotide ribosomal RNA is filed under the name uncultured bacterium. RNAcentral describes it as "partial 16S ribosomal RNA". It matches the Rfam family "Bacterial small subunit ribosomal RNA", at positions 524 to 776 of the family's 1533-position model. The record is from RNAcentral.